CUGUUCUGGAGAUGUCCCUAAAAAGAAAAAAAUGACUAGAUCAGAUUUUUCUUCAGAUUAUUAACAGUUCUUCAGGAGUUUCACAGAAAUCUACAAUAAAAAUCAAAUCCUAAGGAGGUGGGGAUUUCAUAUCACCUUGCUAAGUUCUGAUACCAUUCAAACCCAAGUAGGCUGUUCAUUUCUCUGUGAUUUUCACUGUCUUUUAAAGCUCUUGUCUUUAGUGUCUUAUAGCACAGAAUAUGAAUUAUAAAGAAAUAUCAUGACUUUUAAAAUUACACCUUUAAAGCCAACCAGAUACAAAUGUGUAUGCAGCCACACAGUUUUAAAAAUCCUUUAAAGAAAUCGUAUCUUCCAUUGGAAGAGUUAUAUUCCCUUAGACUUCUUUAGAUUCAUUUUAACCUAUUGGAACACUUUAACAGAAAGCAUUGCAAUUCCUAAAAGAAUAUUCUCUAUAUACCAAAAUUAAAAUCAUCUUACUCCAUCCUGAAUCUCUCAGAAAACUGAAUAUUAUGUUUGUUGCUUUCUACUUGUUUGCUGAGGUGGACUUGUGAGAGAGAUGAUGCACAGCUAAUGGGGAGAUGACUUUCCUUUCAGACUGCCAGGUGAAUGUCACCUGGUCCUGCUGGUGCUUUCUACUCAGUUUUUGCUUUGUCCCAAAAUUGCUUCUAGUAACACUUGAAGUUAAGAUGUUUUUAGAGUUACAGUCUGUGAAGAAGUAAAUCUGUAAAAAGGGUUCUAGGGUAGGCAUUGUUUGAGCAUUGUUUUAUCAUGACACCCUCAUAAUAAGUAAAUCUGGGUUUUUUUCUACAGUUUCUUAUCCUUCUAGAAGUCUUGCUCACUGUCUGCUUUCUUGCAUCCAAGAGGAAAUUAGUUCUAGUUUUAUGCUUUAAACAACUUUUAAAUGUCUACAACAUUGGGGUUUGCUCUGGGUUUUGGUUUUUUUUCUCUUUCAAUUUGCUUUUAAAUUUAGUUAGAAAAAUACUGCUCCUUUUGGUAGGACUUUUUCACUUCUAAAAGCUCCCUUGCUAUCAUAUGUUCUUUAAUAUGUCACAGCUAAUUUCAACUACAUAAAAUUCUUGUUUGUUCCUCUAGAGUGCUUUUUGGUAGGUGCUUCUACCAACAGCCCUGAAUUGGCUCUUAGAAGAGUCUGAAUAUUGCCUGCUAUCAUUUUACCUUGUAAAGAAUCAGAGUAGUUGAGUUUCCAAAUCAUCCUGUAUUGCCAAGAAUGUUUUCAUUCUUGAUCAAAACAGGGUCACCUGGAGCAGGUUGCUCUGAGCUGCCCCCAUUGACUUCUCAGCAUCUCCAGGUCAGGAGACUCCACAGCCUCUUUAGCAACGUGUUAUGGCAUUUGACCACUCUCACAACAAAGAAAUUUUUUUCAGAUGUAUGACGAGGUCCCCUCUCAGUAAUUUCUUCUCAAGGGUGAAGAGGCCCAGCUCCCGCAGCCUUUCAUUGUGAGAGAGAUGCUCCAGUCCCUUGAUCAUCUUUGCUGCCCUCCCCUGGACAAACUCCAGGAGCUCCAUGUCUCUCUUGGACUGAGAAGCCCAGAACUGGACACAGCACUCCAGCUGUGGCCUCACUAGGGCUGAGCAGAGGGGCAGGAUCACCUCACAUGACCUGCUGGUCAUGCUCUUCCAAGUGCCCCUCAGGAUCCCACUGGCCUUCUUGGGCCCAAGGCCACACAGCUGGCUCACAGACAGUUUGUUGUCCACCCCAGGUCCUUCUCCACAGAACUGCUUUCCACUAGAUUGGCCUUCAGCCUGUACCAGUUCCUGUGGUUAUUCCUCCCCAGGUGCAGGACCCUGCAUUUGCCUUUGUUGAAUUACAGACAGUUCUUCUCUGGCCAUCUCUGCGACCUGUUGAGGUCCUUCUGAAGGGCUGCACUCUGGAGUACUGGCCUCUCCUCCCAGCUUUGUUAUCAGCAAAUUUACUGAGGAGGCAUCUGCCUCUUGAUUGAAGUCACUGCAAUUUCAUGGUCACGGUAGCCAUGCCUGCACCCAACCUUCACAUCUCCAACAAGGCCUUCCAUGUUUCUUAGCAGAAUGUCAAUCAGCACAGCAUUCCUUGUGGGAUCCUCCACUGCCUGUGACCGGAAGUUGUCACUGGUGCUUUCUCAGAAUCUCCUGGACUGUUUAUGCUUUGCUGCGCUGCUUUUAUUGGUUGUGUCAAUAUCCCAGAGAGGGUGCAAAGGAAUGCUCCACAGUCCUGUCUUGUGGUUAUAUCUUUGCUAUAUUUACUGGAGUUGGCCCCUCUUAAGUCUGCCUUUGCUCCUUGGGUGUAGUUGCUACAGCUCUCCCCUUUCCCACACCUUAAUGUUUGUUGAGCCCCGGCCUAUGUCCCCAUUCCCCUACUAAUGUAGUUCAAAACUCCCAUAACAAGCCCUGUUAAUUCCUUUUCUCCCUUUGAGACAUUUUAUAGAAUUCUUCUGCAGCAAAACAUCCUGGUAAAAUAGAUCUUGGGACAGAUCUUAGCAAGACAAAGCUGGCCUUUCAGAAACUUCAUGAGUCUCCACCAAGUCCUCAUGGUGGUGGCAGCUAUCUGCAGAUAGGUUAAAUGCUCUGUGAUGACAGAUACUAAGACUCUUUGGAAGGGAAAUUACAACUCACAAACACUUGAGAGUUCUUUGAAGAUGUACUGGCACAAACUUAUGAGGAAAAAUGAUCCUGUUUGUGCAACAAAUCAGGAAUUCUGACAAGCCUUGUCAAAAUCAGAUAUCAAGGGCUGUUGAGGUAACUAAUCUGUUUUGUGACAUGGGGAAUGUCUUUCCUGGAUUAAUUGAAAAAUGAAAGGGUGGAUAAAAGCCUGAGAACAGCUGACAACAUUUCAUGCUAGAGGAAGAAUGGAAAGUUGAUUGGUAUCUGACUAUGCAGGUCAUUGCAGGCAGGGCCCACAGAGGAGAGGCUCUCACUGGUACUACUGAAACACUCAUAAACACUCUGGGAAGGAAGUGCGAGCUGCAACAAAGCUUGUUUCUGGCACAAAGUAAUACAAGGUAGAGAAAGCUUCUUUGUCUAAAGAAGCAGAAGGCUCCUGCAAUAGUAUAUGACUGUGCAGAAAAAUAAUAUGCUUCAAAAUUAAUGAAUGUAAAGUACAUUUAGGAAAAAGCAAUUUUGACUUUACAAGGAUGAUAAUGGGGUUUAAUUUAUCUAGCACUUUGGAAAGUUCUUGGAGUCCUCUGCAAAUGUCAGGUCAGUACUUUCAGUAAUGUUGAAGGGAAAUAGAAUGCUAAGAAUUCUUGGGAAAUAAAUAGAAAAUAGCAAAAAAACUUCACUUUGUAAAUCUAGUAUGACUGUAAAUUAAAUAUCUGCAGUUCUAAAAAUAUAUGCAGUUAUAAUAAGAGCAUGGAAAGCUGCAGCUAGGAUAUUAGAAGUAUCAAGUUGUUUAUAUAUUAAGUAAUAAGGUACAAAAAAGGACUUUUGGGAAAAGCUACAUCUGGAAGCAGCAGUAGUAGACUAUAGUGCCAUGCUGAUCAUAAAGAAGGUGAUUAGUAGUGAUUAUGCACUCUUGUGAGAUGAGUUUCGGAACACUUAAGAAUGUGAGGCAACAGACUUAAAAAUAAGAGAAGGUAUAAUUUUUCACCCAACUGCAUCAUUGUGAAAAUUGGUGCUGUGGUUCAUCAUGUAGGCCAAAAAGCUAGGUAACAAGAAGGACAAUAUACCAUUCUGGUUUGGUUUUAUUCCCAGUUGUCUAACAUUCCCAUCAGAAUUGUCUGGGUCAGCAAGAACACCCUGGGGGACAAGGGCUUGUGCUUUGGAAACAGCUGCUGAGAGGAGCUUCUCUGGAUUUACAGGGAAUGGAGCUGCAGCUCCUGGAGAGCUGCAAACAGAAGGGGUAGCAGCCCAGUGCUCCAGUAGUGGAAACAAUUUCCCAGGGAGCAGAGAUGAAUAUGCAGAGUCUGUGGCUACUCAGAGUUUCACCAAGUGAUGUUAAAAAGUGUGAAAGAAACAUCUAUUCAGUGAAAAGAAAAGGCUUGGAAGAAUUAGUAUUAAGACUAUUUUGUUUCUGUUCUAUCUUACCAAAUCUUAGGAAUUCUUUUAUGUAUGUGCCUAUGGGUAUAUAUUUAAGUAGACAAAUAUUGUAGGUUUUGUUUUCAAACACUCAGUUUUAUACUGGGGAGCCUGGGGAAAAGUUACAGGAAAGAUGCCCUGAAGUUCUUGUUGAUUUAGGAUUGUGGUGCAGAGCUGGCAAUAGAUGCUUUGUCCCAUCCAUGGGCCAUGUUAAACACAAGGGCUCAGAAGUUUGGAAGUUUCCAAAGUCCCAGCUUGGGAAGUCCCUAAAUUGCUGGUAUGUGGUUUCUGCCAGCAAGAAGUACUGUGACUUCUCUGUACCACUGCUAUUGCAAAUCAAAAAGCUUCCUGGGAGUCUGGUGAUAAUUUGUCUCCCAAUAGUUUCUUAGUUACCUUGGCCCACACUUUGUUGUGUGUGCAUCAGCUGGCCAAGAGGAAAGUGUGGGAUUCUCAGAGAUUUUUUUACAUUAAAAAUCUAGUUUUGAUGAUUAUCUAAUCAUGUUCACUAUCUACUUCAAGCAGCAUAGCAGCUGUCUUCAAACUAGUUUGAAAAGUUUUACAAAUAAUUAUUAGUCCUCAGAGCCAUGUGAAUCCAAGUAGUUGGAGCUGUCAAAACUCCUGCAUUCAUAUAGAAGACACACUUGCCUGAAUGAUUUCUUUGUGUGCCAGUGUAUAGAAUUACAGAAUCAUUAAGGUUGGAAAAAUCCUUCAAGAUCAUCAGUCCAACCAUCAGUCUAGCACCCACCAUGUUCACUUUUUCCCAAUGUCAUACCCACAGUUAUUUUUUUUAAUACUUUCAGAGACCAUGACUCCAUGACUUUACUGAGCAGCCUGUUUCUAAUGCUUUGCAAGCCUUUCUGUGAAUUUUUUCCCCCUAAUAUCCAAUCUAAACCUCCCCUGGCACAACUGGAGGCAAUUUCCUCUUGUCCUCUUGCUUCUUACCAAGCCCUGAUGAGCCAAGUGUGGUCAGUCCCGAUCAGUCAAGGAUGAUCAGUCCUGAUUUUGGUCUGCUGGGAAAAAUGGGAACUGACUGAAGUUACGUCUGUCUCAUUAACAUGUAAUAUUGAUAACUAAGAUGAUGUUUAAACACAGCAGUGCUUGAAUUGCACAGAAGAGUGUCUGGCUCGCACUGGUAGGCUAUAGCUUGUACCCUUAAGGAAACACAAGAGAAUGUGCAAGAGAUGGAUUUGUCAAGAGGAUCUGUCUUAAACUGAAGUGACUAUAAAACAGGCUAGGCAGGAAACUGAUAAAAUGAAAGAUAGCAAGUCACAAGGACUAGAUGGUUUUCACCAGAAAAGUUCUGAAACAGCUGAAGGAGGAAGUAGUUGAAUUGAUAAAAGAGUCAUGGAACCUUCAGCUUUGCUCUCCUGAAGAAAGGCAGCAAACAAACCACCACCAAAUAUGAUAUACCUGGGGAAAGUCAGCAUGUAUGGGGCUUUUGUAAAAAAAGUCCUGCCUUGCAAACUUCUCUGAGUGUUGUGUUUAUAAUCUGCUCAAUCUCCUGGGACUUCAAGGCCUUUGACAAAUGCCCACAAGGCUGAGACAGAAACCAGACAGACACACUCUUUUGGAAGGUGUCAAAUGCUCAGGAUUUUGGAAAAGGCUAGCAACAGUCACAGCUAGCCUAGAGCCAGACCAGAUUUCAGCCUUUAAGUAGCCAUGGUCUAGAGCCCACUCAGGUACUGGCAGUGUUGCGUAGAGUUCUACACUGUGAGGCAGAGCAGCAACCAAAGUGCUCUCAACCAAUCUCAACAUUUUGGCAUGGUAGCAGUUUUGUUUGGUCCUCACAUUUUUUUAUAAAUCUUAGGUGAUGUUUCUGGGCUGUUGCUUAUCUCAGCUGAAAUUUACAUAUUUUAUUGAAUAUUAAAGAGACAUUGGAAAGGUUCAGAUAAAUGUGGGAAGAAAACAUUGCAUGAAUUCAGAGAUGUUUUCUGAACCAAUUGUAUAUUACAGAAGUGUUGUUCAGUUGCUCAGAGUUGUUUUUUUUCUUUUUUUCUGGGUUAUUGUAUUUCAGUCUAAUUCUUUGUUGGUUUUAUGAAGUCAGUAUUUCAGAACUGGAUCUAAGUGAUAAAAGCUUUUGUCAAUAAUCCUUUUCAUUGCUGGAAACGUGCACUUGUAGUAUGAAACCCAGUAAUAGCAAUAAUUCAAAAGACAGGUAGUUAAGAAAAUGAGAUUGAAUGUGUCAUAGUACAAUUGAGAAUUUUUUCCUAAUAUAUAUAAAUUUCUGAGUACUGGAACAAGUAAAGCAUAAAAUAUAUAACAGAUGGGCUUAAACUGCAGAUACUAUUUUAACUCUACUAAAAUAUUUUUUAAAUCUAAAAAUUAGUAUUGUUUGAUUAGCAAAAUACAGAGCACUCCUCUUGCUCAAAAACUUGCUUUUGUCCUGUGGGAGAAACCAUUCCUAGAUUGGGAAAUGAUGCUUUAAAGAGCAAUUCUGCAUUCUACAGAUAAUUAACUACUCACAUGUAUCUUGUGUGAUUGUAACAUUGUAAAUUUGGACUGUGUGCUUUAUAAAAGCUAAUUGAAUAAUGAUCCUGAUUGUAUUUUUGUUGUACUCUCUUGAACUUUUGCUCUGGGCAGCAGCUCUUGUCGCAUUUAGUAAAUCAGGUCCACCGAGUUGCUGAAUCCGUGCCAAGGUUUCAUUUUGAGGUGAAGAGCAAUGUACUGUCAUCAUACUAUUAGUUUUAUAAAGGGAGCAAUCUGUGUAUACAUCCACAUAUAUCUGAGUACACAACAGUGACAAAGGAACCAAAAUUGCUGACAUCUGUUUUCCUCUAUUCAGUGAUCACAAUCCCUGCUUCUUCUGCUGUUGUACACUGCAAGUUUGAAAAAAAUAAAAAAUUACCUAGCUUUUCAAUUCUUACUUAAGUAUGUUUAAUUAGGUGGUCUGAGAGCAUGGCCAAACUCAUACAACAUAUAUAUAGUCAGGCACAAUUCUUUGUAGUUAAAUCUUUCUCAUUGUGUUUCUUUAAAGCCAAAAUGGAACGUUACCCCAUUAGGGUGGAUCCAUGGUCUGUAUUUCAGCCUUUAGGUUGCUGUUGCAAUCUUGAUCAGAAAAAAAAGCACUCUCUGUGGGGCACAUGUUCUGACUACCAUGAAUUCCCAUCUCACUUGAAGAGUGCACCUGGGGAACUCCAGACAAUAAGUUCUGCCAGCUUGGUAGGGAGGCAAGACAGAAUUUCUCUAACUCAGAGUUACAUAAAUUUAUUUUUUGUUGUUGUUUUGUUUUUUUCUGCAUACUGCUGCCACUAUAAGCAAUGUCAUUCAUUGUCCUAGACAAAAAGCAAUAUUCUCACAAUCAUUUUCCAUGGAGUUAAUUUUCAAGAUGAAACAGUUUGGAUGUAACAUUUUAUUUUGAGGAAGGUCGAAUGGUCAGCUAGCAACACCAAGGUGCAAAUGACUUAACAAACUAUUCCUUAUAACAAGCUAAGUUGUUUACCUUGCCCAAGGGAAUAUGGAAGGGCUGUAUUGGUGAGACUUCUCAGAGUGUUACACGAGUUAACAAAUCUGCAAUCUCUCUGUAAAUCACUCAGUGGUCAUGAUAGUAUAGUGGGGGUGUAUACUAAGGCACCAAGUGCAAGGACAUUUUUGUCUCCUGUGGGAGAUGUUAAUGGUCAUUGACAGGACACAACCACAAAUACUUGGUUUUUUACUCAGUUUUCUUUUUUUUUUUUACUUCAGCCCUCUUAAGGUAAUGAAUAUGUGGGAGUUUCAGAAACUCUUUUGUUCCUGUUAAAACAAUUCUAGUUCCUGAAAGUGAGUUAAGAGAUCUGUCCAGGUGGAAGGAUUCUGCUUUAAAUUGUUGCUCAUCUUCUGGCAAACCUUUUCUACAUCACACAUGCAGAAUAAUUCCUGCUCAUCGGUGGGUGACACAAGCCCCUAAGCCACUAUUAAAAUUACAUUAAAAUAAAAUUAAAAGCUAAUAACUUGAAUUGUUAAUUCUGUACUGGUUUUGGUUGGUAUAGAAUUAAAUUUUUUCACUAGUAGCUAGAAGGGGGCCAUGCUUUCGAUUUGGGAGUGAAAAUAAUAUUGAUAAUACAGGGAUAUUUUAGCUAUCCCUGGGCAGUACUUGCACACAUACAUGGCAUUUUUUGUUUCUCACACCAUCUGACCACCAAGGAGGUUAAGGGUGCACAAGAAUUUGGGAGAGGAUAGCCAGGACAGCUGACCCCAGCUGACUAAGAGAUAUUCUAGACCUUAUCAAAUCAUGCUCAGCAGUAAAGACUGGGUGGAUGUUUGCCAGGACUGCCAUUGCCAUGGGACUGGCUGGGAAUCAAUGGGCUGGUGGUGGGCAAAUUUUUGUUACAUCGCUUGUUGUUCUUGGGUUUAGUUUUUUGUUCUUCCCCCUCUGAUUUUGAUUUUUUUUUUUUUUUCAGCAUCCUUUUAUUAAUUAUUAAGCUGACAUUAUCUCAACACAUGAUUUUUCUCAUUUUUACCCUUUCAAUUCUUUCUUUCAUCCCAUUGGGUGCAGGGGCAAAUACUCAGCUGUGUGGAGCUGAGGUGCAGGCCAGUGUUAAACUGUGACACCAUCCUAGGAGCUUUAUCUUAGGACUUGCAUAUCAAAGUAUCAUGAUAUGAAAUACUCUGGCUUUUUUAAUCCACUGUUGAUUUACUGUGCUUACAUGUCAAUUCUGGCCUUCUGCCUUUCAGAAGCAAUACCUCUGUUUUUAAUGACACUAUAGUAAGCACCACAUCUCCCUUUAGUUAGCAGAACUGCUAGAACUUUUAUGAGCCAUGAAGGUGUAUCAUUCUAAGAGGAGAUAGAUAGCUGGCUGUUUAGUCUGCAAGUAUAAAACAUGUCCUGAGAUCAAGGAUCAGUGGUAGUAGCUGGGAUAGCACAAUAGUUAUGGAAGACUAGAAAAAAUUCAAGUAAUUUGAGAUAUCUAACUUGAAAAUAGGGUAAAAAGGUAGGUUCUGUACAGUUAGAUGUUCACAUCCUAGGAAAGCAUCUCUAGCCCCUAAACCAAGAGGUUAUGUGUAGCUGACAUGUCUCCAAGCUAGGCUUUGCACAGGAGGCUUACCUGGCUCUUACAGCAUACAAUUAACCACCCACAACCUUUUGCAGCAUAUGAGUUAUCCACCUGUCCAGCAUAACAACAACACUGAUGCUUUAAAUACCCACAAUAAAAAAGUGUCAACAAUCUGAUCCUGCAAGCUCUCACCUGCUGGAGCCAGACUGAUUUUUCUGGAGUUGAAAAGAUUCUGAAAGAAAAAUAAUGACUUCUGCACCUUUUGUUAUUGCAGGUAGCUGCUAGGAUUCCUUCCAAGAAAAAUACAGUUAUUCUGCCAUGAAUAAGCUAUUUUCCUGAAGAGCAGAAAGUAAAACUUGUUCUUACAUGGACUAAACCCUGCUGGUAUCAUCCGGUUUUGCAAUGGAGGAAGAAAUUCCCCUUUUCAGUAUUUCAGUUCUCCUUGUGAUCUGUCAUGGGCACAACGUUACACACUAGACAAUUUGAGUCAGGGAAUAUGAUUCUUCUGGAAGUUCUUCUUUAAAGAUUUUUUUUCAUUCUGUAUUAUGAUUCCUAAUUUUAGUGAAAAGUUCUUUGGGGGAUUGUAGAAUCAGACUGGAAGCCAAAUAACACGAGAAAAAAGAAGAGCAUCAGAGACUAUACGGAGUGUGGGUCCAGGAUAAGUGGGAAGAAUAUUGCAUUAAGCCUCAGCUGCACCAGAAAGCACCAUGACUGCAGGAUUCCGAGCAGGACCUUCUGAGGGCACGAAACACUAACAGGACAUUUCAAGUGCUAUGUGAAACAUAUGCAUGCAGCUGGAUUAUGAAAUGAAUGUUAAAGAAAGGGAGAACAGGCCAAAAAGAUGCAUUUGAAAAUACAGCAUGAAGUUGCUGGGAAAUAUGAAAUGGUUGAUUCAUGCUUUUGAGAUUUGCAUCUCAUUUCCAGUGUAAGUGGAUGGUUCCUCUGAGUUGCUCCCAGCAUCUUACACCACUCUCUGUUUUGCAAGAGAUGCCUGCAAAAGAACUGCUACCAUUAUCAGUGCUAUACUUACUAAAAUAAACAUUCUGGUUAAAAAAAAAAGCAUAAUUAUCUUCCAAAUUGUCUUAGAAAAGUUUUACUGUAGCUUCAAACCAGAACAAAACUCACAGUGGAAUUACUGGCCAUGAUUUUAUUUCUGAACUAUAAAUAUACAUACUAAAUGAAAGCACACUGCAAAAGACAUUAAGCAAUUAUAUUGUUAUUGCUGGCUGAAAUUAACAUCCUCUCUUUGCUCCUCAAAAGUAAUUAAAAUAAGAUACGUUUUUCAGAACUCAAGUAAACAGAAAAACUUGGGUUUUUUCUUCUGAAAGAAGAGAAUUACCUGCUACUUACAUAGCAUCCAGAUUUGUCCCAUUAAAAGCAUGGCCUUGAAUACGGGUAAAACCAUUAUUGUAGAGUUUACUGCAAGCAAAAAAGAAAUUACAUCAGUGUAUUUUGGGCUGCUUCAAUACAUGAAUACCUAACAUCUUAUGCAUCAUUUUUCUUUGCAACAGCACAUUUAUGGUUGGGUUAAUUUUAAUCUCUUGAAGAAGCAGUAGUUACUGUGCAAGGUCAAACAAAUGCCAGAAGUGUUCUUGAGUGCACCCCAUCAAGGAUACCACGUGACAGGUGUGCAAUCUUCUACCUCUUCUUACAGCAAUGAUAGACUAAACCACUUUGCUAUAAUUUUCCCACACUUAAAUAAAAGCAAGGAAACAAAAUUCUGCUGGGACUGAUUAAGGAAGGCUAAAGGAACUAACAACUAGCUAAAAAGGUCUGAUUCUACUAUCAGGCAUGCCUUACAUUUUUAGAAUUAAAUUUUUUACUCUCUUAGAGCAAAAUAAUUUUUUUCUAGAAUUUCUUUAGAAUUCAUCUGUUCGCAUUCUAAUGCUCUUCCUCCCAGUUCAGGUCAUAACUUAUUACAGUAAUUUCACUCCCAUCAGCCUUCUUUUUUGUGGCUCACAUUGACUGACUUGCAUAACUGAACUUUAUUUAACAAUUUUCUUUCAAAUUUGACUCUUCUGAUGUUUGCCAUCCAUUAGUUUCCAUGGUAUGUACCACUCAGGUUGCAAAAAAAGUUAGACCUGGUUAUAACCCUGCUGUAGCUUUACAGGGGGAGAGCGUUGCAGACUUUCUCCUUUGAUUUUUUUUUCAAAUAGAACCAUUCUCUGGACACUAGGGUCAUAGAAAAACAAAACCACUUUAGUCAAGCCAGCUUAAAGAAAAGAGCAGGACUGGUUGAAAUAGUUGUCAAAGUACAGAAUUUAUGCAAACUAGAAUAUUCAUUCUGUCUGUGGUCUUUCUCCAUUGCAAACUACUAGAGAGUAAGACGGGAAUAAUUUUAUUUUUAAAUAUUUUGCUAUAUGCAUUACCAGAGAGGUAAUUGCCUUGUGACUUAAACUGGAAGAACUUACAGAGUGAGAGAUUCAUUACAAAGCCCAUGGAAAGCAUUUGCAGGCACUGAAGUCAUAUAAGGAUUAUCUGCAAUUUCACUGAAAAAAGAGACAAAAUAUCACAAUCAAAUAUCUGCCCAACAGAGCAUCUGGAGAACAGCUUUGUUAUUAAUUGUUCUCUGCCUUGAUAAUAAAUAGAAGUUUAAA
Molecule: long non-coding RNA, 11574 nt
Organism: Parus major (Great Tit)
Lineage: Eukaryota; Metazoa; Chordata; Aves; Passeriformes; Paridae
Exons: 3
Source: RefSeq, a predicted model, not a curated record